This 496-nucleotide ribosomal RNA is filed under the name uncultured bacterium. RNAcentral's name for it is "bacterial SSU rRNA". It matches the Rfam family "Bacterial small subunit ribosomal RNA", at positions 21 to 518 of the family's 1533-position model. The record is from RNAcentral.
GGUUCAGGAUGAACGCUGGCGGCGUGCCUAACACAUGCAAGUCGAACGAAGCACUUAGACAGAACCUUCGGGUGACGUAUUGGUGACUGAGUGGCGGACGGGUGAGUAACGCGUGGGUAACCCGCCCUGUACAAGGGGAUAACAGUUAGAAAUGACUGCUAAUACCGCAUAAGCGCACGAUGGUAGCAUUACCAGGUGUGAAAAACUCCGGUGGUACAGGAUGGGCCCGCGUCUGAUUAGCUAGUUGGCGGGUAAGAGCCCACCAAGGCGACGAUCAGUAGCCGGUCUGAGAGGAUGAACGGCCACAUUGGAACUGAGACACGGUCCAAACUCCUACGGGAGGCAGCAGUGGGGAAUAUUGCACAAUGGGGGGAACCCUGAUGCAAGCAACGCCGCGUGAGUGAAGAAGUAUUUCGGUAUGUAAAGCUCUAUCAGCAGGGAAGAUAAUGACGGUACCUGACUAAGAAGCUCCGGCUAAAUACGUGCCAGCCGCCGC